AGAGUUUGAUCCUGGCUCAGAAUCAACGCUGGCGGCGUGCCUAACACAUGCAAGUCGAACGAGAAAGGGUAGCAAUACCUGAGUAAAGUGGCGCACGGGUGAGUAACACGUGACUAACCUACCCUGGAGUGGGGGAUAACUGAGGGAAACCUUAGCUAAUACCGCAUAAUACCUACGGGUCAAAGGAGCAAUUCGCUUUGGGAGGGGGUCGCGGCCGAUUAGUUAGUUGGCGGGGUAAUGGCCCACCAAGACAGUGAUCGGUAUCCGGCCUGAGAGGGCGCACGGACACACUGGAACUGAAACACGGUCCAGACUCCUACGGGAGGCAGCAGUGGGGAAUUUUGCGCAAUGGGGGAAACCCUGACGCAGCAACGCCGCGUGGAGGAUGAAGUACCUCGGUACGUAAACUCCUUUCGAUCGGGACGAUAAUGACGGUACCGGAAGAAGAAGCCCCGGCUAACUUCGUGCCAGCAGCCGCGGUAAUACGAGGGGGGCAAGCGUUGUUCGGAAUUAUUGGGCGUAAAGGGUGCGUAGGCGGUUUGGUAAGUCUUGUGUGAAAUCUCCGGGCUCAACUCGGAGUCUGCACAGGAAACUGCCGGGCUUGAGUAUGGGAGAGGUGAGUGGAAUUUCCGGUGUAGCGGUGAAAUGCGUAGAUAUCGGAAGGAACACCUGUGGCGAAAGCGGCUCACUGGACCAUAACUGACGCUGAUGCACGAAAGCUAGGGGAGCAAACAGGAUUAGAUACCCUGGUAGUCCUAGCCCUAAACGAUGACUGCUUGGUGUGACGGGUACCCAAUCCCGCCGUGCCGUAGCUAACGCGUUAAGCAGUCCGCCUGGGGAGUACGGUCGCAAGGCUGAAACUUAAAGGAAUUGACGG
This 877-nucleotide ribosomal RNA is filed under the name uncultured Acidobacteriaceae bacterium. RNAcentral describes it as "bacterial SSU rRNA". It matches the Rfam family "Bacterial small subunit ribosomal RNA", at positions 8 to 916 of the family's 1533-position model. Lineage: Bacteria; Pseudomonadati; Acidobacteriota; Terriglobia; Terriglobales; Acidobacteriaceae. The record is from RNAcentral.